AGGAAUAUUGGUCAAUGGGCGGAGGCCUGAACCGGCCAUGCCGCGUGCAGGAAGACGGCCCUACGGGUUGUAAACUGCUUUUAUACCGGAAUAAACCUUCUUUCGUGAAAGAAGCUGAAUGUACGGUAAGAAUAAGGAUCGGCUAACUCCGUGCCAGCAGCCGCGGUAAUACGGAGGAUCCAAGCGUUAUCCGGAUUUAUUGGGUUUAAAGGGUGCGUAGGUGGCCUGUUAAGUCAGGAGUGAAAGACGGUAGCUCAACUAUCGCGGUGCCCUUGAUACUGACGGGCUUGAAUGAACUAGAGGUAGGCGGAAUGUGACAAGUAGCGGUGAAAUGCAUAGAUAUGUCACAGAACACCAAUUGCGAAGGCAGCUUACUAUGGUUUGAUUGACACUGAGGCACGAAAGCGUGGGGAUCAAACA
This 420-nucleotide ribosomal RNA is filed under the name uncultured bacterium. RNAcentral describes it as "bacterial SSU rRNA". It matches the Rfam family "Bacterial small subunit ribosomal RNA", at positions 357 to 774 of the family's 1533-position model. The record is from RNAcentral.